CGAGAGUUUCAGAUUUGAAUUUCGCUCCUGCUACCAUUAAGGGACCAUUAACCAAUCAGAUGGUUUGAUAUAUCCGAUUAACCAAUCAAAUGCGUACUAAUUAAGCUAGUGAGAGGCAGGGAUGCCGGAAGUUGCUGAGGGCAAGGAGUGCAAUUGGUUAAUAAGAGGGCAUACUCCUUAACAAAAGGGCACCAAUGAAAAUGAAAGGGCGUCAAGAUCCUACAUUCGUGUCGACCUCCCUCCCCGCCACCAAAUUUUUUCGGACCGAAUACAAUUAUUUAGCCACAAUUCCUCCGUAAUUUCUUGCCAAAAAUUCCAUAAGUAAUACUUUCCGUUUCACCUUUCGCCAAAUGGAUAACAACUUUGCCGAAUUCCUGACGACUGGGGGGUGGAACACCCCCACACACUUCCUGUCUGUUGUAAAAGUUUUGUGCACACGUUACACCCAUAGUCUGCACCAACACUGCACCCACACAGUUGAAAAUGCAAUAGGCAAGGGGUGCACUUGCACCCGCUGCACCCGUGGUUCCGGCAUCCCUGGUGAGAGGUAGUGGUAUAGCCGUAAUGGAAGUCAAAUCUGAACCUCUCUAAUAUAAAGCUGUCCUGUUUCUGCUCCAGGUCGUUGGAGUAAUCUCGCCCACAUUGCGGGAAAAUGGUCGACAGCUGCAUUAUCAUUCAUGAUGAUUGAUGACAUUGUUUCACUCAGCUCAAGUCGGUUGUAUAUUUAAAGUUUUCCGUUCUGUUGCUUCGUUUUCGAGAUAUUUCAUUUAGUUUGAUAUACGUGUCAACUGGAUCCUACGUCACAAAGUGCAUAAUGAUUUGCUGAAAAUGUUAUUUAUUCUUGUUAUUAUACACUGUACGAAAUGAAAUUACUAGAGAAUCCAGGUAUUUAAUGUUGUAGAACGACACAAAUGCACACUAUACUUCAAUAAAGUAAUUUUGUUUGAUAAUAGCAAGGAUAUACUGUACAACUUCUGAUAGCUCAUUAUGCAUAUUUGUGACGUAGAAACCAUGACACGUAAUCAAACUAUACCGAAAUAUCUCGAAAACGAAGCAACGAAACGAAAAACUGCAUAAGAAGUUACGCUAUAGUUUUUAUAGUUCUUUUAAAUAAGACAAUAAAAAUGUUCGUUUUACAUGCACUUUAAAUAAGAUAUAUAGUUAUUUUAAUCUACCCAGAUUUCGCCACGGCAGUAGUCACAUGGUAUGACGUUUUCACUUUUCACAUCUUAUUCAAAUAAGAAAAUGUGAAGGCUCUUGUAGUUCUUCUUCCUAAGUAUAGGAACAAGACAAAAAUUCAGAUUGGAAAAUAAUGAACAAUCAUAUACGUAUUAAAGAGUUAAAAACACGAUCUGACCUAGAAACUAAAUAACUGAUGCAGGGGCGGCACUAAACCUAUAGUUGAAUGGGAGGGGUGUAAGAGAAUUUUGCCGAGUCAUUAUUCAGUGAAAUUGUAUACCGACUCAUUUCAAACGCUAAUUAAUAUUUCUUUUCCCAAAGAUGUUGGCGAGCGGGGGUAGGGGGUAAAAAAAUUUUUCCGGACAUUAUGUUUCUCAUGUUAACGUACCUUUAAUGUUUACUUUUUUCCUUCAUAAAUUUUCGCAAUUUUCUCCGAAUUUUACGUAUAAUUAUUAAUUUUUAAUCUGUUUCACUCCAUUUCUCUCCCAAUCAAAUUCAUGUUUUGCUGACUACGAAAACAAUUUGCCAACUGGGAUUCACUGUUGUACCGCCCCCCCCUCUCAGCCCUUUAGCGCCGCCGUUGAACUGAUGUGGUCUCGAUAUCCUGGAUCCUGCAUAUAUGAGCCCAACACUAUAGUUUAGCAACAAAAUUUAUAGUCCUAUACUUUAAGAAAAACCUUCAUUUUUCAUGCAUGCUUUAUGUGGAUCUUGUGGCAUGCUAUGAAGUCGCUAAUAAUUCGUAAAUUAAAGAAAGUUCAAAAGAAGUUAAUUUUUCUUCAACGCUUCUUUAACAUAAACUUUUUGUUUGACUUUCUCAGCCAAAGCGGCUUAUCUUUAGCUACACACGUAAAAACUCAGUAGUUGUAACAAACCUGCAGCAGACUUGUAUAUGUUCGCACUGCUUGUUGACAAGUUAAUGACUUGUUGACAACUUACUACAAGGUUGUUGAGCUGAACAGACGUGUUACAAGUUGUUCCAACAACUUGUUAUCAU
Molecule: non-coding RNA, 2173 nt
Organism: Paramuricea clavata
Lineage: Eukaryota; Metazoa; Cnidaria; Anthozoa; Malacalcyonacea; Plexauridae
Source: the annotation of a GenBank genome assembly